AUUGAACGCUGGCGGCAUGCUUUACACAUGCAAGUCGAACGGUAACGCGGGGCAACCUGGCGACGAGUGGCGAACGGGUGAGUAAUGCAUCGGAACGUGCCCGGUAGUGGGGGAUAACUGCUCGAAAGAGCAGCUAAUACCGCAUACGACCUGAGGGUGAAAGGGGGGGAUCGCAAGACCUCUCGCUAUUGGAGCGGCCGAUGUCGGAUUAGCUAGUUGGUGGGGUAAGGGCCCACCAAGGCGACGAUCCGUAGCUGGUCUGAGAGGACGACCAGCCACACUGUGACGGAGACACGUCCCAGACUCCUACGGGAGGCAGCAGUGGGGAAUUUUGGACAAUGGACGCAAGUCUGAUCCAGCCAUGCCGCGUGCGGGAAGAAGGCCUUCGGGUUGUAAACCGCUUUUGUCAGAGAAGAAAUCUUCUGGGUUAAUACCUCGGGAGGAUGACGGUAUCUGAAGAAUAAGCACCGGCUAACUACGUGCCAGCCGCCGCGGUAA
This 498-nucleotide ribosomal RNA is filed under the name uncultured bacterium. RNAcentral's name for it is "partial 16S ribosomal RNA". It matches the Rfam family "Bacterial small subunit ribosomal RNA", at positions 30 to 523 of the family's 1533-position model. The record is from RNAcentral.